RNAcentral lists this long non-coding RNA (3815 nucleotides) under Nicotiana tabacum (common tobacco). Its description in RNAcentral is "long non-coding RNA (NTAB_LNC012473)". Lineage: Eukaryota; Viridiplantae; Streptophyta; Magnoliopsida; Solanales; Solanaceae. The record is from RNAcentral.
CCAAUACCCAAUACCCUAAUUCCCUCUAUAGAGAAAAGACCUAAUUUCUCUUAACAAAAAAAAGAAGCUAUAGCGGCAACUCCAAAAGACCCCCCUUAAAAGAAAUCAUCAGCUGCUGACCCCAAUCUCCUUUACAAAAAAUUAGCGAAAAACAGAAGUUUUUCUUCUCCAACACCCAUCCCACACCAACGACUAACACCCACAUACCCGUUUUCCAGCCAUCGCCACCCCCCGGCGUUCUUAUUCAUCAUUGAAAACCUAAGAACAUGCCUGCCAUCUUUUUCUUCAAUAGAAGAAGCAACGCCAAUCCCUGAACUUAAAACCCUAGCAGCAUUCCGCUCCUCCUCAGCCGCCGGAACCCUAGUUCCCCUUCAAAAAAUUUCCAUCGCCACUGCAACUCUGAUCUCUCACCUAAGUGCCGACCUCACCUAGACAUGGAAGAAAACAAAGCAACAUCUCUUGGAGGCCAGGGGAAACGGCCAGAAUUUCAAUAGAAAGAGAGGGGCACAAAAUAGAGGGAGACGGACAGAGGAAGCUUCGUUCUCAGUUUUUGGAUUUUCCGUACAGGUUUCCUUUCAAUUCCAUAGAGAACAUAUAAAAAUACAAAAAAAAUCAGUUCUUUCAUCUUUCUUAGUUUAUUUCAAAGGUCAGAAAAAUUCAAAAAUAAAGGUUUCGUUCUUCUUUUGGAUUCUCGUUGGGAGGUUUAUUGAUUUGAGUUGCUGUUCGAAGUCGAUUUCGUGGUUCUCUGUUCGAUUCAUGUGCUGUAUCUCAUUAGAAUUUUGUGAAUUAAAGUCGAAUUUUUCAUUGAAUCCUUUACUGUUAAAGAUUUCGGCUUUACAUUUUUAUUCCCAUAUCUCUCUUCUUUAUUUAAUCUUGUUUGAAGAGGAUCGAGCUGUAUAGGAGUCGUUGAAAAAUGGAUUAAAUAAGCAGUUAUUUCGAAGAUUAUGUUUAACUUCCCUUUGAUGCGAGUUUAUGUUUUGUGUUGAUUACGUGAUCAUUGAAUCAUCCUGGCUAAAUCUCCGAGAUGAUAAAUGAGCACGAAUUAUUUGAAUCUCUGUUUAUGUGUUUGCUUGUGAUAUUUAUUGAAGAAAUUUCAUUAGUUCAUAUCCCGAUUUGCCGUGGAUUUUGAUUUUCUUGCUGAUAUUCCUAUGUUGAAACGAUAAAUUGAAUUCACUACUGAUGGAUAUGAAUUUUGAUUUAUAUGAUGUGAAUAUAGGGAAAUCUUACGGACGGGAAAACCAAGUAAAGAAAAAUUUAUUCUCUGUUCUUUUAUGAAUGUUUAUGAAAUAUUGGAAAAAUCUAAAAGAAAACUUAAUAUCAAAUUGCAGAUCAUUUUGGGUUCUUUGUUGUAUUUAUUUCUUAUUUUUUCUAGUGUUUCUAGCAAGUGUAAAUGUGGAGGAUUUGGUUUAGGAUAGAACUGAUCACAUCUUUCGUUUAAGAUACUUAGUCCUUUUGGUUUAAUUAGUACAUUGACUACCAAAAAUUAUUUCCAUAAUUCUUAAAUCUUCAUGUUUGAUUUCAAACUUAGGAAUUAAUAAUUCUGAACAUUCGUAGAAAUGCGUUAGGCACACCCUUAAUUAAUCGAAUAUUGUGAUUAUGUAUAUGUUCACGUAACAUAAUUAUGAUUUUUCUAAACUUAAAACCAAGGUAUGCAUUCGCGCAACUUUGGCCAAGCUUUUUCCUAAAUAAUUAAGUGUUAGGAAUCGUGGACACAUACACGUGACAUGAUUCUUGAUGCACCGAACAAAAUGAGUACAUGUACGUGUGACUCGUUUCAGGUUAAUUUCUUAAAUAAAAGCGGUAAGAGGUAAAAAUGUAUAUAGGUUCUGAAAUGAGUAAUUAGACAAUUUAAUUAAGCCAUGUAUGAUUAAAGCGACCGUGCUAAAACUACGGAACCCAGGAAUGACCAACACCUUCUCCCGGGUUAACAGAAUUCCUUACAUGGAUUUCUAUAUUUUGCGGACUGUAAAACAGAGUCAAACUUCCUCGAUUCGGGAUUUUAAGCUGGUGACUUGGGAUACCAUAAAUUAUCUCAAGUGGUGACUCUGAAUUUGAAUAAAUAAUUCCGCCUCGGUUAUUGUCACUUUAAUUGAUAAAACUCCCUUAUAUACCCUUUCGGGGUGUAAAAAGGAGGUGUGAUAGCUCUAGCGACUCUGUUGGGGAUAAGAACCCAGAAAUUCUAGUUCAGGGUUCAGAAUUCGAGCUUGUUUUGUGAUUUUUACUUGGCUUUAUUUAUUGUUCAUAUUAUCGUAUUUGUGGACCUAGUAUGCUAACUGCUGAUUAUUUACCGCUUUGAUAUUAUUUGAAUUGUAUUAAACUGUCUUCUUAUGCCUCCCACCUGAGUCUUCUAAAAAAUGGUGCACACAUUCGCGUGGUCCACUUUUCUGUUAGAAGUUAUACCAAAUAGAGCGAGGCUGGGCCAGCAACAAGGCCAGGCAGACUUUCGUGCUCCCGAUACGUUGCCCCCAUCUCGGCUAGAGUUGUCUGCUCGAGUAAGUCAGGUCUAGAACACACCCCCAGGUUUCAACCUAGAAUGACAUAACCUCAUGUCGGAUUCCUAGUAGGCACAUUUUUUUGCAUCAUGUGCAUUUGACUUAGGGGACUCAACAUAGGGGUUGAGUCCGUCUAGGAGAGGUGUACCCAAAAAUAAAAGACCACCCUGAUGCAUCUUAUGUGCUACAUGUUCCAUUCUUCAAGGGUAAAAAGGGGUCAUUUGGCGGACUAAUGAUGGUUGAGGGUAAAUGAGAAAAAAAGAGGGUGAAGUGUAAAAAAUAAAGCAAGUAGAGCCUAGUUAUGUUUUUCUUUCACAUUUUUUUAAGAAAAAGACAAAAAAAUGAAAAAUCUAAAAAGAUUUUUCACUUUUCCAUCAUUUUUCAAAAAAAAAAGGACAAAAAAUAUAUUUUCUCUAAGUUAGUUAUUUUUUUAAUUCUUGCCCGUAUCCAAUCUCCCGAACUACGCGAACCUGAUUCUCGUCUCUCAGGGCGGGAUACGUAGGCAACCCACAUAGGGUCCGGUCUUCCUAGUGAGUCUUAGGUUCUUGGCUUUGAGGGUCGUAGCCAAAUCUUGCAUGUCUAGCCACUUUCGGCCACAUCGGUCAUUUUGCAAAAUAGGGCUAUUUUUGCAAAGUGGUUUGUUUAAUUGUGUCUAGAGAGCCUUCAAUCCAUAAUUAGGUGUCUCUUUACUUUACAGGUCCGUCCUUAUCGAAUUUGCAUGUCUAGCUGCUUUUUGCCACAUCGGUCAUUUUUGCAAAAUGGAAUCAUUUUCGCAAAAGUGGUUCAAUUAACCCAUGUCUUAGAGUCGUAAGUCCACAACAAGGUGUCCUCUCUAUUUGGGAUCCAUUGUGUUGAAUUUGCAUGCUUAGCCAUUUUUGUCCACAUAGACCAUUUCUAUAAAAUGAGUAAUUUCUGCAGAAUAAUUUUCCCAUGUCUUAGAGGUCACUUUUGUCGAGUUUGCACUUCUAGCCACCUUUUGGCCACGUAAGCCAUUUUGCCAAAACAGCCUCAAUCAUGUCUUGCAUGUGUCCAAUAGGAAGUGUUAUUGUCUCACAUAGUGUUCUAGGUCUUUAACUUUAUUUGGUCUUAAUUUUCUCAUACAGGUGUGGAUCUACUUACCGGAGUUUGAGCAUGACAAACACCCCGGGACCGUCUGGUCAGGACUGUUGCAUCCAAGAGUUGCUUAAGGAGAUUUUUUAUGUUUUGAGGCUGUUUCUUUUUAUGUUGUCUUGUACUUUAUAGUCAUGUUCAGUAGUAAUGAUUCUUUUAGUUGGCGUCGGAGUUUGUCGUAGUGUAGUUGAGUUGAGUCUCUUGUUAUCAUAU